GACGAACGCUGGCGGCACGCUUAACACAUGCAAGUCGAACGUGAAGCCCCGAGCUUGCUCGGGGUGGAAAGUGGCGAACGGGUGAGUAACACGUGAGGAACCUGCCCCGAAGACCGGAAUAACACCGGGAAACCGGUGCUAAUACCGGAUGCCCUCAUCGGACCGCAUGAUCCGGUGAGGAAAUGGAUUCCGCUUCGGGAUGGCCUCGCGGCCUAUCAGCUUGUUGGUGGGGUAAUGGCCCACCAAGGCAGCGACGGGUAGCUGGUCUGAGAGGAUGUCCAGCCACACUGGGACUGAGACACGGCCCAGACUCCUACGGGAGGCAGCAGUGGGGAAUCUUGCGCAAUGGGCGAAAGCCUGACGCAGCGAUGCCGCGUGCGGGAUGAAGGCCUUCGGGUUGUAAACCGCUUUCAGCAGGGACGAAAUUGACGGUACCUGCAGAAGAAGCCCCGGCCAACUACGUGCCAGCCGCCGCAGUAACAC
RNAcentral lists this ribosomal RNA (483 nucleotides) under uncultured bacterium. RNAcentral's name for it is "bacterial SSU rRNA". It matches the Rfam family "Bacterial small subunit ribosomal RNA", at positions 28 to 526 of the family's 1533-position model. The record is from RNAcentral.